AUUCUCAUCGUCAAAAGUUGGAAUCAAACUUUAUGCAAGUGGACGAAUCGGAGAGUACCAAAAUUGAGGUUUCUGAUUUUCAAGAGGCCGUUACCCCUAUGGAAGAUUAGAAUCUUAGACAUAAACUAUUUUUCUAGUUGAAAUUUAGACAUUGGGGCCGAAUUCCACCUAAUGGCCAAACCCCCUUGUGUUUUGGUUAAUUUUGAACAAUUUUUCU
This 217-nucleotide long non-coding RNA is filed under the name Malus domestica (apple). RNAcentral describes it as "long non-coding RNA (MDOM_LNC012328)". The record is from RNAcentral. Lineage: Eukaryota; Viridiplantae; Streptophyta; Magnoliopsida; Rosales; Rosaceae.